This 471-nucleotide ribosomal RNA is filed under the name uncultured bacterium. RNAcentral's name for it is "partial 16S ribosomal RNA". It matches the Rfam family "Bacterial small subunit ribosomal RNA", at positions 28 to 506 of the family's 1533-position model. The record is from RNAcentral.
GACGAACGCUGGCGGCGUGCUUAACACAUGCAAGUCGAACGCUGAAGCUUGGUGCUUGCACUGGGUGGAUGAGUGGCGAACGGGUGAGUAAUACGUGAGUAACCUGCCCUUGACUCUGGGAUAAGCCUGGGAAACUGGGUCUAAUACUGGAUAUGACAUUCCACUGCAUGGUGGUGUGUGGAAAGGGUUUUACUGGUUUUGGAUGGGCUCACGGCCUAUCAGCUUGUUGGUGGGGUAAUGGCCUACCAAGGCGACGACGGGUAGCCGGCCUGAGAGGGUGACCGGCCACACUGGGACUGAGACACGGCCCAGACUCCUACGGGAGGCAGCAGGGGGGAAUAUUGCACAAUGGGCGGAAGCCUGAUGCAGCGACGCCGCGUGAGGGAGGACGGCCUUCGGGUGGUAAACCUCUUUCAGCACGGAAGAAGCGAGAGUGACGGUACGUGCAGAAGAAGCGCCGGCGAACUACGU